Long non-coding RNA from Diceros bicornis minor, 1015 nucleotides. RefSeq lists it as uncharacterized. The transcript has 6 exons. Lineage: Eukaryota; Metazoa; Chordata; Mammalia; Perissodactyla; Rhinocerotidae. The record is from RefSeq and is a predicted model, not a curated record.
AGGCCUCAGGAAGAAGAAAUGGAGAAGCCGUGGUUCUCUGAAGAGAUGGCUUUGUGCGGAGCAUGCCUGGAAUGAGAGGAGCAGAGGACCAGCUCCCACCCUCUCCCCAGCAGGGUCUGGGCUGCUGUAACAAAUUACUACAGAUUGGGUAACUUAAAACAACAGAAAUGUAUUCUCUCACAGUUCUGGAGGCCAGAAGUCUGAAAUCAAGGUGUCAGCAAGAGUGUUGUCAAGUCUGGAGAGAAGACCUGGAAAUACUGAAGCCAUCUUGCCAUCAGCCUGCGAAUGGAGCCGACACCAAGAAUGGCAGAACAGAAAAACGUGUAAAAUGUCAAGUGUUCCUGGAUCCUCUGGAGGCAUCGACAGCUCACCCUAAAGGUAUUCCGAGCAUACUGCAGAGCAUCCAAACCGAGUGGGGAGAAUUUACGUUCUGAAAGCGUUAGAAGGCUGGUACCGUAAGGCGCUACCACAGACCCAGUCUUAAGAGUAGGACCAAAGGAAUGGAGACAUACAGAAGCAGAUUUUGAGUUGCCAUGAGGUGGAAGUUGAGCUGUGAAACAAUGGGAGGAUCUGCCUUGUGUGACCCAGGUGUCACCCGGGGCCUCUGCUUGUGGAAAUCUAAGUGAGAUGGAUUUACCCUCAUCCUUCUGUUUUCAUCAGCACAUCAGUGCAGAUGUAAAAUUCACCCCAACUUUGAUUUUCACAGAAAAGUCACAGUGGGAGAAAGCAGAGCAGAGGAGACAAGGAGCUGUGAACAUCAUGGGAAGAAAAACCAAGAAGAGUUCCAUGGCGCACUAGGUAGAAAGACCUCCCCCAGCCUAUGUCAGAGAUGGCUGCAGUGGUCCCAGCUUCUCUCCAUCUUGCUAAAUGCCCUUUCUCCUCAUCUUUCUCUGGAAAUCUCUCCUUUUGGGAAGAGCACAAAUUAUUCUUCUUGUCUCAUACGGAGCACUUGAUCAUUGGUAUACAUUAUGCUCUUGGGUUCUCACCAUACCCUAGUGCCCCCGAGUAGUCUAUA